GUUCAGGGAUGGGAAUCGAACCCACAGUGUUCCGUUAUUAGGCAGAUGCCAUGUCCACUAGGCUACCCUGGA
RNAcentral lists this transfer RNA (72 nucleotides) under Cordylochernes scorpioides. RNAcentral describes it as "tRNA-OTHER". The record is from RNAcentral. Lineage: Eukaryota; Metazoa; Arthropoda; Arachnida; Pseudoscorpiones; Chernetidae.